This is a long non-coding RNA of Zingiber officinale, 97 nucleotides long. RefSeq lists it as uncharacterized. The transcript has 2 exons. NCBI's taxonomy places the organism in Eukaryota, Viridiplantae, Streptophyta, Magnoliopsida, Zingiberales, Zingiberaceae. The record is from RefSeq and is a predicted model, not a curated record.
GUGUCGUAGCAACGUCGAUAUCUCCAUCUACGACGCGAUUGUUCACUGCAAGAAAUCGAUCGGACAGAGUUAAAGGUGAUUGAACUACCAAGAUUAA